This 66-nucleotide non-coding RNA is filed under the name Methylocaldum szegediense. Lineage: Bacteria; Pseudomonadati; Pseudomonadota; Gammaproteobacteria; Methylococcales; Methylococcaceae. The record is from RNAcentral.
CUGCGAAACCGGGGCCUAGCCCCGGUCGCCCAAGGGCGGCGCCUUGGGCCUGAUGAGCAGCCGAUA